This 497-nucleotide ribosomal RNA is filed under the name uncultured bacterium. Its description in RNAcentral is "partial 16S ribosomal RNA". It matches the Rfam family "Bacterial small subunit ribosomal RNA", at positions 28 to 507 of the family's 1533-position model. The record is from RNAcentral.
GAUGAACGCUGGCGGCGUGCCUAAUACAUGCCAGUCGAGCGAACGGACGAGAAGCUUGCUUCUCUGAUGUUAGCGGCGGACGGGUGAGUAACACGUGGAUAACCUACCUAUAAGACUGGGAUAACUUCGGGAAACCGGAGCUAAUACCGGAUAAUAUUUUGAACCGCAUGGUUCAAAAGUGAAAGACGGUCUUGCUGUCACUUAUAGAUGGAUCCGCGCUGCAUUAGCUAGUUGGUAAGGUAACGGCUUACCAAGGCAACGACGCAUAGCCGACCUGAGAGGGUGAUCGGCCACACUGGAACUGAGACACGGUCCAGACUCCUACGGGAGGCAGCAGUAGGGAAUCUUCCGCAAUGGGCGAAAGCCUGACGGAGCAACGCCGCGUGAGUGAUGAAGGUCUUCGGAUCGUAAAACUCUGUUAUUAGGGAAGAACAUAUGUGUAAGUAACUGUGCACAUCUUGACGGUACCUAAUCAGAAAGCCACGGCUAACUACGUG